Molecule: long non-coding RNA, 395 nt
Filed under: Salmo salar (Atlantic salmon)
Lineage: Eukaryota; Metazoa; Chordata; Actinopteri; Salmoniformes; Salmonidae
Description: lncRNA (ENSSSAG00000101832.1)
Source: RNAcentral
AUCUAAAUAAGGUGUCUGUUUUUUCUUUGUAAUACUUCACCUCUUUGGGAAAAUAGUUCCCAAGACUGUCCUGAUCAUCUAUUUUCAGACGGGUGGACCGGAAACCCAGUGACAAUACUCGGGUCUGCAGCUGCCAUUUUCCGUUGGGAAAGAGAAAUGGACCUGUAUUUUCCAGAAAAGGUAGCUCAUCCAUCAUGGCAGAAGAGGAAGAACCAGACUCAUCCAACAUGUCCAACAGGAGUGCAUCCCUCAGACCAUCCGGUGCAUGGACAUCCUGUGCGGGUGUGAUCCGGUUGUGGAGACUACAGCACAUCGAGCAUGUGGGCGAACAGAAAUGAGGCGUGACAUGCAGAACAUCAGGCUCACCCCACGAGAAGCAGUGCAUGAUCAUCGCC